GAUGAACGCUAGCGACAGGCUUAACACAUGCAAGUCGAGGGGCAGCAUAAAAGUAGCAAUACUUUGGUGGCGACCGGCGCACGGGUGAGUAACGCGUAUGCAACCUACCUAUCAGAGGGGAAUAACCCGGCGAAAGUCGGACUAAUACCGCAUAAAACAGGGGCACCGCAUGGUGAUAUUUGUUAAAGAAAUUCGCUGAUAGAUGGGCAUGCGUUCCAUUAGGUAGUUGGUGAGGUAACGGCUCACCAAGCCUACGAUGGAUAGGGGAACUGAGAGGUUGGUCCCCCACACUGGUACUGAGACACGGACCAGACUCCUACGGGAGGCAGCAGUGAGGAAUAUUGGUCAAUGGGCGGGAGCCUGAACCAGCCAAGUCGCGUGAAGGAAGAAGGAUCUAUGGUUCGUAAACUUCUUUUGCAGGGGAAUAAAGUGCAGGACGUGUCCUGUUUUGUAUGUACCCUGAGAAUAAGGAUCGGCUAACUCCGUGCCAGCAGCCGCGGUAAUACGGAGGAUCCGAGCGUUAUCCGGAUUUAUUGGGUUUAAAGGGUGCGUAGGUGGUUUGAUAAGUCAGCGGUGAAAGUUUGCAGCUUAACUGUAAAAAUGCCGUUGAAACUGUCGGACUUGAGUGUAAAUGAGGUAGGCGGAAUGCGUGGUGUAGCGGUGAAAUGCAUAGAUAUCACGCAGAACUCCGAUUGCGAAGGCAGCUUACUAAGCUACAACUGACACUGAAGCACGAAAGCGUGGGGAUCAAACAGGAUUAGAUACCCUGGUAGUCCACGCAGUAAACGAUGAUUACUAGCUGUUUGCGAUACACAGUAAGCGGCACAGCGAAAGCGUUAAGUAAUCCACCUGGG
RNAcentral lists this ribosomal RNA (854 nucleotides) under uncultured Bacteroidales bacterium. Its description in RNAcentral is "bacterial SSU rRNA". It matches the Rfam family "Bacterial small subunit ribosomal RNA", at positions 28 to 877 of the family's 1533-position model. The record is from RNAcentral. Lineage: Bacteria; Pseudomonadati; Bacteroidota; Bacteroidia; Bacteroidales.